This is a long non-coding RNA of Micropterus salmoides (largemouth bass), 762 nucleotides long. RefSeq lists it as uncharacterized. Lineage: Eukaryota; Metazoa; Chordata; Actinopteri; Centrarchiformes; Centrarchidae. The record is from RefSeq and is a predicted model, not a curated record. The transcript has 4 exons.
GAACAGAAAAGGACGUCAUAACUCCACCUUACAUCUGAUUGUUUUAGCAGAUAAAACAACAAUGAUAAUAAAUAUCAUCAGGUUGACUCUGGUGGUUGUGAUGCUGAUUCCUCUGCUUCUGGUUUGUCUGUGGAUGAGGAAGAAGAAAACUCUGAGCUCCACCACUGAACCAAAUGAACCCAUAGAGACAUUAGAGUUGGAGUCUGAUCCUGAUUGUAGCAACGCCUCAGCCUUGAACCAAAACUGUAACCAGAGGGACUCACCUGGAUGGAAACAGAGAGAAGUACAGCAUUGAAGUAGUCAGUGGAGAACAGGGGGCUGUGGAGGAUGAGGAUACAUUUACCUUUAACUGCAAACAUUUUCAUUUUUAGUUUUCAUUAGCAGCAGCAGGUAGACGUCAGCAGCAGCAUGUAGCACAAGAUUAGAGUAGAAUGUAAGCGUCAUUGUUACCUGUGCAGGUACAUUACAUAAGUUCAGGAUUUUACUCAGUAUACAAAAUGUUAUUUCAAAAUGGAAUGUAAUAAAUUGCUUUUAAGAAACACUGGUUGUCCUUUCACAUCACACCUGUGCUGGUAAUGAAAGCCAAUAACGUCUGAUCAAAACAAACAUGUAGAACUGGAAGCUAAGUAUUUCACAGCAUGUACAGUCUAUGUUUAAACACUGAAAUCAAACAGAAGCCCAGCUCUGUCACACUUUGCUAGUUGUAUCAUUUUCAAUGUGUUGCAGUGGCUGAUUGAAAUAAACAGCCAGCUUCCACAACAA